RNAcentral lists this transfer RNA (73 nucleotides) under Canis lupus familiaris (dog). It matches the Rfam family "tRNA". From Rfam's summary of the family: Transfer RNA (tRNA) molecules are approximately 80 nucleotides in length. Their secondary structure includes four short double-helical elements and three loops (D, anti-codon, and T loops). Further hydrogen bonds mediate the characteristic L-shaped molecular structure. tRNAs have two regions of fundamental functional importance: the anti-codon, which is responsible for specific mRNA codon recognition, and the 3' end, to which the tRNAs corresponding amino acid is attached (by aminoacyl-tRNA synthetases). tRNAs cope with the degeneracy of the genetic code in two manners: having more than one tRNA (with a specific anti-codon) for a particular amino acid; and 'wobble' base-pairing, i.e. permitting non-standard base-pairing at the 3rd anti-codon position. The record is from Rfam by way of RNAcentral. Lineage: Eukaryota; Metazoa; Chordata; Mammalia; Carnivora; Canidae. RNAcentral also lists the same sequence under 1 other name.
GCCUGGUUGGCUCAGUUGGUAGAGCACAUGACUCCUAAUAUCAGGGUCGUGAAUUCAAGCCCCACACUGGGUG